UUGGUAAACAAGGUAGCGUAAUACCGGAUAAGAAAGACGGAUCGCAUGAUCAGCUUUUAAAAGGUACGGCGUAAGCUGUUGCUAUGGGAUGGCCCCGCGGUGCAUUAGCUAGUUGGUAAGGUAAAGGCUUACCAAGGCGAUGAUGCAUAGCCGAGUUGAGAGACUGAUCGGCCACAUUGGGACUGAGACACGGCCCAAACUCCUACGGGAGGCAGCAGAC
This 220-nucleotide ribosomal RNA is filed under the name uncultured Lactobacillus sp. RNAcentral describes it as "partial 16S ribosomal RNA". It matches the Rfam family "Bacterial small subunit ribosomal RNA", at positions 138 to 354 of the family's 1533-position model. The record is from RNAcentral. Lineage: Bacteria; Bacillati; Bacillota; Bacilli; Lactobacillales; Lactobacillaceae.